GUUUAUGCUAUAUUCUAGGGAGAACAUCCUCUAUGCCAUCUACUGAGAAGCCGUCAGGCACAGUAGAAGAUAUGACUACCUUAAAAACCCUCCCCCCACCUCACGGAUGCAGAAAACCUCAAUCUCCUGUUGAAUUACCUGGGACCUCUUCUGGAAAGGGAACGGAGAUUAUUGCACCACCAACUGAAAAAACCUCAGAACCCCAAGAUGG
Poeciliopsis prolifica (blackstripe livebearer) is the source of this 211-nucleotide long non-coding RNA. RefSeq lists it as uncharacterized. NCBI's taxonomy places the organism in Eukaryota, Metazoa, Chordata, Actinopteri, Cyprinodontiformes, Poeciliidae. The transcript has 3 exons. The record is from RefSeq and is a predicted model, not a curated record.